UCGUAGGUACCGCGAUGCGC
RNAcentral lists this small RNA (20 nucleotides) under Bombyx mori (domestic silkworm). RNAcentral describes it as "ovarian small RNA-29167". The record is from RNAcentral. Lineage: Eukaryota; Metazoa; Arthropoda; Insecta; Lepidoptera; Bombycidae.